This 159-nucleotide unclassified non-coding RNA is filed under the name uncultured fungus. Its description in RNAcentral is "sequence contains ITS1". Lineage: Eukaryota; Fungi. The record is from RNAcentral.
GUAUUAGUUUGUGUGUUUUAGUACAGUGUGUGUGUGUAUGUUGGUGUUGGUGGUGUCGUAUCACGUAUUACCGUAACAGAUCCCACCAAUCAGAAUAAACAAUCCUCAAUACAGAAUAAAUCAUUGUUGAUGAUCCUUCCGCAGGUUCACCUACGGAAA